This 489-nucleotide ribosomal RNA is filed under the name uncultured bacterium. Its description in RNAcentral is "bacterial SSU rRNA". It matches the Rfam family "Bacterial small subunit ribosomal RNA", at positions 29 to 527 of the family's 1533-position model. The record is from RNAcentral.
AACGAACGCUGGCGGCAUGCCUAACACAUGCAAGUCGAACGAGACUUCGGUCUAGUGGCGGACGGGUGAGUAACGCGUAGGAACCUGCCAAGCAGUGGGGAAUAACAGCUGGAAACGGCUGCUAAUACCGCAUACGCCCUACGGGGGAAAGCCGGGGAUCUUCGGACCUGGCGCUAGUAGAUGAGCCCGCGUGAGAUUAGCUUGUUGGUGGGGUAAUGGCCUACCAAGGCAACGAUCUCUAGCUGGUCUGAGAGGACGAUCAGCCACACUGGGACUGAGACACGGCCCAGACUCCUACGGGAGGCAGCAGUGGGGAAUAUUGGACAAUGGGCGAAAGCCUGAUCCAGCAAUGCCGCGUGUGUGAAGAAGGCCUGAGGGUUGUAAAGCACUUUCAAUCGUGAAGAAAGUUGCAGGCUAAUACCCUGUGACCUUGACGUUAACGAUACAAGAAGCACCGGCUAACUCCGCGCCAGCAGCCGCGGUAAAGUG